AAGAAAGUUACAAGAACUGCUAACUCUUGAUUCCGUACCUAACCUUACGGCUUUCUUA
This 58-nucleotide transfer RNA is filed under the name Pseudochirulus canescens (Lowland ringtail). RNAcentral describes it as "tRNA-Ser". Lineage: Eukaryota; Metazoa; Chordata; Mammalia; Diprotodontia; Pseudocheiridae. The record is from RNAcentral.